CAUGUAGGUGGAUCAAUAAGUCUGCUGUGAAAGUCGAAGGCUCAACCUUCGAAAGCCGGUGGAUACUGUUGAUCUAGAGUACGGAAGAGGCGAGUGGAAUUCCUGGUGUAGCGGUGGAAUGCGCAGAUAUCAGGAGGAACACCAAUAGCGAAGGCAGCUCGCUGGGACGUAACUGACACUGAGACGCGAAAGCGUGGGAGCAAACA
Molecule: ribosomal RNA, 206 nt
Filed under: uncultured bacterium
Lineage: Bacteria
Description: partial 16S ribosomal RNA
Rfam family: Bacterial small subunit ribosomal RNA
Source: RNAcentral